Molecule: ribosomal RNA, 253 nt
Filed under: uncultured bacterium
Lineage: Bacteria
Description: partial 16S ribosomal RNA
Rfam family: Bacterial small subunit ribosomal RNA
Source: RNAcentral
UACGUAGGGGGCAAGCGUUGUCCGGAUUCAUUGGGCGUAAAGAGCGUGUAGGCGGCCAGGUAGGUCGGUUGUGAAAGCUGGAGGCUCAACCUUCAGACGUCGACCGAAACCAUCUGGCUAGAGUCCGGGAGAGGAGAGUGGAAUUCCUGGUGUAGCGGUGAAAUGCGCAGAUAUCAGGAAGAACACCCGUGGCGAAAGCGGCUCUCUGGAACGGUACUGACGCUGAGACGCGAAAGCGUGGGGAGCGAACAGG